AAAGUACUUCAAGUAAAUAUGGUUAGUACAGUUUACUGAGAUGCGACAGAGAUUGAGAUGAUUUUUAGCAAAUGAGUUGAUACCUGAAGCAUGGUGUUGAAUUUGUUACGCAGAUCACAAAAUUCAUUCCAGAUAGACUACUGCCGUCAGGCAUCUGACAAAGGAAAAAGAAAAUUAAUCCAGUAACAUGUGAGGCCACAAUGGAGCACACUAGCCUUCACAUUGAGUAUGAAGAUCUAAAUAUGACUGGUAGAGAAUGGCAAUUCUAUGACAUAACGGUAAAUAUACUAACCCCUGUUUGUUCUUUUCCUUACAGAACUCACAUAACUGAAUGCUAGCAUUCGCCACUCUCUUAGCACCAAUGCUGUAAAAUAAAAAAAAAAUUGUACAGUUAGGAUGUCCCACCUUAUGAAUCAGAUAAUAUUAUACUCCCUGUCUCAUAUUAAGUGCCGCAAGUUGGUCUAAAUAAUAAAUACGCGUGUAUUUACACACUAAGACAAGUCUAGAUACAUGUGUAUCUAUAUGAAGUUGCGACACAACCUAUGCAAAAUUUAUUCGAAGAUCGAAAAAAAAGGAACAAAUUCAAUGGAACAAUAUUAUUUGAGCUUCCCACGGGGGUUAUGUUGGUGAUCAAGAAUGAGGUGGCGCUGUGGCACCUGAUCGACGGCAAGGGCAUUGGUGAUUUGC
This 687-nucleotide long non-coding RNA is filed under the name Brachypodium distachyon (stiff brome). RNAcentral's name for it is "long non-coding RNA (BDIS_LNC002417)". The record is from RNAcentral. Lineage: Eukaryota; Viridiplantae; Streptophyta; Magnoliopsida; Poales; Poaceae.